CCAGCAUUCCCAGGUAGGCCAAGGUGUCCUACAGAAAAACCUUGGGUUAGACCUACAGGGGGUCUGG
Molecule: non-coding RNA, 67 nt
Organism: Otolemur garnettii (small-eared galago)
Lineage: Eukaryota; Metazoa; Chordata; Mammalia; Primates; Galagidae
Source: Rfam